CGCCGGGGCGGCACUGAAGGCCAGGGAAAUUAUGCAAAUGAAGACAAAGGAUGCUCACAAAGGGGUCACCCUCCCUAGACCGGAUUGUUGAUAUAUAUGUGUGUGCGCGCGUAUUUCCACGUUAUAUGAAGUUGCUUAUGGUAGAUAUGGACUCUUUUGGACGUGCAGAAGGGGUCGAAACCUGGAACUCCUGCAAGGCUCGGAUGCUCCCCAUUGUAAUAAACCAGGAGCCCUCUGGUCUGUCUACCACCCAGGCCAAUCUAGACAGCGUUUCAAAGGAACGAUUAAAGUAAUGACAUUUCGGGAUGAUGAACGGGCGCGCUCACCCGAGAUAGGCAACCGCAGCCAGAUGCCCAUGUAAAGACGCAUCUACACACACACAUGCCCUUCCCCUAGGCUUACAUUAACGCGCGCAACUGGAUGCGGGAUACCCACGCGACCGUGGUACGCAAACAAGCCGAGGGGCGAUUUCUUUUUUGCCACUGAAUCCCGCGCAAAUGGGCUGUCACUCCCAUAAAGACUCCGUUCCCAGUUAGAACCGAAUUGCUGGCAUGUUUGUCUCUGUUCAGAUCAAUGGAACUGAGACAGGCAAACCUACUCCUAAAGGGUGCUUAGGUGAAAGCCGAUCGAAUUGAAAUCGACGGGGUUUGCUGGCGAGCAAACAUCGUUAGGAUCGAAUGGGGAACCUGCGCAUCCUUCCCCGGCAGAAACAAAUGGGACUCGGGUUCUAAAUAAUUCGGAGGGGCUCCUAGACUUUCUGAAGCCUAGGUGUGCCUGGAGGACCUCUGUAAAUGCGUUCAGAGAGGCUAGCAUGAAAGUCUUUUCAUCCAUAAAGACACACCUCUCCGUGUGUAUUUAUAAAAAUACGCACACAGACAUAUGUAAUGUUGUGGUUGCAUGCUGAUGGGCGUGGAUGUUUGGUUCUGUGAACUUCAGGUCUCUUCCGCCGCCCCCCUCUUAGUCUUUGUCCUAGUCUCCCUUCUCCUAACCAUUUCUUUAUUCCAUUCCAACCACCAAACCAAAUGUCGCGAGGUUUAGCCGGCAGAAUGCUUCUGGGUUCCAAAAACAAAACAAAAAAACAAAACCAAGCUGGACCUACGGAGAGCGUCAAGGCUCUUCUAAGGCAACACAAAGGAGCCGCUCGGCGCUUCAGACCUUCCGCGGUGCACUCGGAUAAAGCCUAGGUGUGAAUCUGACAUGCCUUCGAUAAAACCCAAGGUGCGAGAAAUACAAAGGUCUCCCUUUAAACCGCAAUGUCACCUUAAAGCAGAAACAAAGCAAAAGGAGGGGAAGAAAGGGGAUAUUUAAACACAUGCACACACAAGGACUCUAAGGCCAGGGUGGCCUCUUACGCAUACCAAUGGUUUUUGUCAUUUAUGGCUAGGCAAGAUUUAUGACUCCGUGCGCCCAAGCUGUAAACAGAGCUUCACAACAGAAAACACUUGCUCCUCGUAGCAGAUCGCGGCGGCUCCCAACUUGAAAGGGGAAAGCUGAGCGACGUAGGAGGGGGCCCCCAAAAAAUUCACUGCCACCAAAAAAAGGAGAGCAAGAUGCCGGCUAAGAAACUGGGGGAGGAUUUGCGUGGGGAGCAAGGCGGGUGGCAGAGAGAGAACCCUUCUCCGGAACAAAUUACAGAAGACGGUCCGGGUAUCCACCGCGCGCGCACCCCACUUGCCACAAAGGCAGUCUUGGGAUUCCCAGCAGCGAUGGCGAGGUGGGAGCGCUGUGUCACACUUCGGAAUUACUUUAGGAUAAUUUUGUGGCGAGCAAUGUUCUGAUGCAGAGAUAACAUAUUUCACCUUAGAGGUAAAUCAGAUAAAGGAUCUGUGGUUGGAAGCGGGGGUGGAUUUCUAAGCCCUGAAUAUUUAAAUUAAAUAGGAUAUUUAAUUUAAUAAGUGAAAUUACCCCCCACCCCGAAUUCUGUUGUAGGCUUUGUAUCUUUUCUCUAUCCAACCUGAUCAUUUAAAAAUAAAUAAAUCUUAAUUUUACUUUA
Podarcis muralis (Common wall lizard) is the source of this 1993-nucleotide non-coding RNA. NCBI's taxonomy places the organism in Eukaryota, Metazoa, Chordata, Lepidosauria, Squamata, Lacertidae. The record is from RefSeq and is a predicted model, not a curated record.